GAGCGCCCAGCAAUGGGAGCGGCGGACGGGUGAAUAACACGUGGGAACAUACCCUUUGGUACGGAACAACUCAGGGAAACUUGAGCUAAUACCGUAUGUGCCGGUAACGGGAAAGAUUUAUCGCCAAAGGAUUGGCCCGCGUCUGAUUAGCUAGUUGGUGAGGUAACGGCUCACCAAGGCUUCGAUCAGUAGCUGGUUUGAGAGAACGAUCAGCCACACUGGGACUGAGACACGGCCCAGACUCCUACGGGAGGCAGCAGUUGGGAAUCUUGGACAAUGGGGGAAACCCUGAUCCAGCCAUGCCGCGUGAGCGAUGAAGGCCUUCGGGUUGUAAAGCUCUUUCGCCAGGGACGAUAAUGACGGUACCUGGAUAAGAAGCCCCGGCUAACUUCGUG
RNAcentral lists this ribosomal RNA (395 nucleotides) under uncultured bacterium. RNAcentral describes it as "bacterial SSU rRNA". It matches the Rfam family "Bacterial small subunit ribosomal RNA", at positions 64 to 507 of the family's 1533-position model. The record is from RNAcentral.